Molecule: long non-coding RNA, 418 nt
Organism: Salarias fasciatus (jewelled blenny)
Lineage: Eukaryota; Metazoa; Chordata; Actinopteri; Blenniiformes; Blenniidae
Exons: 3
Source: RefSeq, a predicted model, not a curated record
CGCCGUGGAUUACAAUGGACGGUGUCGAGUUUCCACAGAUGCCGCCGUAUCUCGCCGGUGAUGCUGGAAAAACAAGAUGUAGACUUAACGGUUCUGCAGGUUUUUCUGUCUUGUAUUCCUCUCUGUCACGAUGGGCAACUAUAGCUCAGCUCUCAUUCCUGAAGCUGAAGAGUUUGUGUCUGUGGCGGAGCAAACAGUUCACUCUGCAGAGUUACAGUCAGAGCUUCAAUCUCUGGGAAGUAUCCAUUUUUAAUGAUAAAGAAGUCACACUUUGUUAUUAAUUCAUUCCACCAUUUCAGAUACUACUGCCAUUACUUGUUGCCUUGUGUGUAACGAGUGUGUGGUCUGGCGUGUUUGUGUCCCAUCUGUCCUUGAGAUAAAUAUAACUUUUCUGAGUUGCCUCAUGCACACAGACAUG